GAUGAACGCUGGCGGCGUGCUUAACACAUGCAAGUCGAACGAUGAAGCCCAGCUUGCUGGGUGGAUUAGUGGCGAACGGGUGAGUAACACGUGAGUAACCUGCCCUUGACUCUGGGAUAAGCCUGGGAAACUGGGUCUAAUACUGGAUAUGACUUCUCAUCGCAUGGGGGGGGGGGGAGAGAUUUAUCGGUCUUGGAUGGACUCGCGGCCUAUCAGCUUGUUGGUGAGGUAUUGGCUCACCAAGGCGACGACGGGUAGCCGGCCUGAGAGGGUGACCGGCCACACUGGGACUGAGAUACGGCCCAGACUCCUACGGGAGGCAGCAGUGGGGAAUAUUGCACAAUGGGCGCAAGCCUGAUGCAGCGACGCCGCGUGCGGGAUGACGGCCUUCGGGUUGUAAACCUCUUUCGGUAGGGAAGAAGCGAGAGUGACGGUACCUGCAGAAGAAGCGCCGGCUAACUACGUG
Molecule: ribosomal RNA, 466 nt
Filed under: uncultured bacterium
Lineage: Bacteria
Description: partial 16S ribosomal RNA
Rfam family: Bacterial small subunit ribosomal RNA
Source: RNAcentral